Long non-coding RNA from Dalotia coriaria, 518 nucleotides. RefSeq lists it as uncharacterized. NCBI's taxonomy places the organism in Eukaryota, Metazoa, Arthropoda, Insecta, Coleoptera, Staphylinidae. The record is from RefSeq and is a predicted model, not a curated record. The transcript has 3 exons.
UUGAAUAAUGAGGAAAAGCAUGUUUGGUUUGAAAAGUUAGCAAAUGUGUGCAUGACUAACGGAAAGCACAGGGCGGCGGCUUACAUCUAUUUGGAACAAUGUUACAACGUCGACCAAGCUUUGAAUUGCUACUUGUCAGGACACUUGUUUAAGGAGUUCAUUGAGAUCAUAGAGGAUUCCCUCUUGACCGCGCAAAUCAACAAAAAUGGUUAUCUUUGCCAACUUACGGAUACUUUAGUGGAGAAUAUUGAAAAUGUGAAAGCGAGCGUGGUCGGGCAAAAUGUAUGAACUGCAUUUUGAACGAUUGAAAGUUGUUCGCGAAAGUCGCAAAGAUCGGGCGGAUUGUGCACUUGACGGCGACGACGCCUACUCUGAGGCGGGUAGUGUCACGACACGAAGUCAUUCAUCGUACGCGAGUACCACGACUCGUCGUACUCGGAAGCUUGAAAUGAAACUGCGUUCGUUGCGACAUGGUGGAAAAUUUGAAGAUAUUGCACUGAUGCGUGAAUUGUAUGACA